UCCGACUUAACGUCGGCAGUCUGUCUAGAGUGCCCAACUAAAUGCUGGCAACUAAACAUAAGGGUUGCGCUCGUUGCGGGACUUAACCCAACAUCUCACGACACGAGCUGACGACAGCCAUGCAGCACCUGUGUAGCGGCCCGAAGGCGUCAACAUUUCUGCUGACUUCCACUACAUUUCAAACCCAGGUAAGGUUCUUCGCGUUGCAUCGAAUUAAACCACAUGCUCCACCGCUUGUGCGGGCCCCCGUCAAUUUCUUUGAGUUUUAACCUUGCGGCCGUACUUCCCAGGCGGGAUACUUAUCGCGUUAGCUACGACACUGAAGGGGUCAAUACCUCCAACAUCAAGUAUCCAUCGUUUAUGGCGUGGACUAC
RNAcentral lists this unclassified non-coding RNA (374 nucleotides) under uncultured Pseudobdellovibrionaceae bacterium. Its description in RNAcentral is "uncultured Bdellovibrionaceae bacterium contains 16S-23S intergenic spacer region". The record is from RNAcentral. Lineage: Bacteria; Pseudomonadati; Bdellovibrionota; Bdellovibrionia; Bdellovibrionales; Pseudobdellovibrionaceae.